CCUACGGGAGGCAGCAGUGAGGAAUAUUGGUCAAUGGACGGAAGUCUGAACCAGCCAAGCCGCGUGCGGGAUGACGGCACUGUGAGUUGUAAACUGCUUUUGUACGAGAAUAAUAGUUCUGACGUGUAGGGGGUUGAGGGUAUCGGACGAAUAAGGAUCGGCUAACUCCGUGCCAGCAGCCGCGGUAAUACGGAGGAUUCGGGCGUUAUCCGGAUUUAUUGGGUUUAAAGGGUGCGUAGGCUGUCGGAUAAGUUAGCGGUAAAAUCUCGGGGCUUAACCCCGGGCCUGCCGUUGAGACUGGUCGACUAGAGAGGGGAGGAAGCAGGCGGAAUGAGUAGUGUAGCGGUGAAAUGCUUAGAUAUUACUCAGAACACCGAUUGCGAAGGCAGCGUGCCAAUCCGCAGCUGACGCUGAUGCACGAAAGCGUGGGUAGCGAACAGGAUUAGAUACCCGGGUAGUC
This 460-nucleotide ribosomal RNA is filed under the name uncultured bacterium. RNAcentral's name for it is "partial 16S ribosomal RNA". It matches the Rfam family "Bacterial small subunit ribosomal RNA", at positions 338 to 795 of the family's 1533-position model. The record is from RNAcentral.